Molecule: long non-coding RNA, 533 nt
Filed under: Calidris pugnax (ruff)
Lineage: Eukaryota; Metazoa; Chordata; Aves; Charadriiformes; Scolopacidae
Description: lncRNA (ENSCPUG00000012350.1)
Source: RNAcentral
UACCUUCUAGGUGACCAGUCUUUGGCUUUGACAGGCAAAAUGUGCAUCAGAUACCCUUCAGAGCUAAGGUAUUCCAAUGUGGCACAGAGAAGGAUAUCACUUGCUGAGUUAUGGAGGUUUCACCAUUGUGGUGGUAGUUUGUGUCUUGGACAUUUUAUCUGUGUGCAAUCAGAGAAAAAAAAAACUCUCUAAAUUGGACUGCAAGUCUACAUCUGCCAAGAACUUCUGCUCUUUUGUGAAUCCUGCUGCAAACGAUGACUCCUGUGGAUCAGAGUCUGGGGAACUGACAUUGGGAUACUCUGGCCAGGCUGUCUGUGCUUGACUGCAGGCCACAAGGAGCAGCGAGGGACAAUGGCACAAGUCUGGACAGAGUCAUAAUCCCACUACAGGCUGUCCUAGAGGUAACUUUCAUCUUCAUAACAUGAAUCUUAUUAUUUCAAAGAAGUUCAAGAUGAUACAAGCAUGUUUGUCAUGGAAUUUUGCUCCAUGUCAUGAAAAGAAAACUUUUUUUUUGUUCUGUGUGUGGAUAUUGA